CUAAGUACCCCGAGGAAAAGAAAUCAACCGAGAUUCCCCCAGUAGCGGCGAGCGAACGGGGAGGAGCCCAGAGCCUGAAUCAGCAUGUGUGUUAGUGGAAGCGUCUGGAAAGGCGCGCGAUACAGGGUGAGAGCCCCGUACACAAAAGCGCACGUGCUGUGAGCUCGAUGAGUAGGGCGGGACACGUGGUAUCCUGUCUGAAUAUGGGGGGACCAUCCUCCAAGGCUAAAUACUCCUGACUGACCGAUAGUGAACCAGUACCGUGAGGGAAAGGCGAAAAGAACCCCGGCGAGGGGAGUGAAACAGAACCUGAAACCGUGUACGUACAAGCAGUGGGAGCCCCACCACCAAAGCGUUUCGCUUUGCGUGGUGCGCAAAAUGCGUAACGACAGCACGAUUGCGGUUAACGGAGCGUAAGCGACGUUCAACACAAAAAUCAGGCAGUGGAGCGUUUUGGGGUGGGGUGACUGCGUACCUUUUGUAUAAUGGGUCAGCGACUUAUAUUCUGUAGCAAGGUUAACCGCAUAGGGGAGCCGGAGGGAAACCGAGUCUUAAU
This 556-nucleotide ribosomal RNA is filed under the name Salmonella enterica. Its description in RNAcentral is "partial 23S ribosomal RNA". It matches the Rfam family "Bacterial large subunit ribosomal RNA", at positions 202 to 688 of the family's 2925-position model. The record is from RNAcentral. Lineage: Bacteria; Pseudomonadati; Pseudomonadota; Gammaproteobacteria; Enterobacterales; Enterobacteriaceae.